Molecule: long non-coding RNA, 506 nt
Filed under: Marmota monax (woodchuck)
Lineage: Eukaryota; Metazoa; Chordata; Mammalia; Rodentia; Sciuridae
Source: RNAcentral
CAUCUGGAGCACAGGCAGUUCCCAGAAAUGAUCCUGAGUGGGACCCAAAUGACGAGCAAGAUGCUUGGAAAAUUAGUCAUUUCCAAGUGUUGAUCCUUGAGGCCCUUAGGAGAAUCAAGCAAAAGCCCAUUAACUAUUCUAAGAUUUCAGAAAUUAUUCAGGGACCCCAGGAAAGCCCGCUAUUUUCAUGGAGAAACUCAGAGAGGCAAUGAGAAAACACACCACUGUGGAUCCUGAAUCCACAGAGGGCCAAUUACUUUUAAAGGACAAAUUUAUCACUCAGUCAGCCCCAGACAUCUGGAGGAAGUUACAAAAAUUGGCAUAUGGCCCUGAUCAGUCUUUAGAUAACAUCCUCUGACUUGCUACUUAGGUUUUUUAUAAUAGAGAUAUAGAGGGAAAAAAGGAGAAAGAGCUCAGAGACAGAAAAAGAAUCUGAAGCCAUGGUAUUUGCUCUUAGAGGAGUAAGCUCCCAGGGUGAAGGAGGAAGACGAAAUGCUCCUCAAUCC